This 549-nucleotide ribosomal RNA is filed under the name uncultured bacterium. Its description in RNAcentral is "bacterial SSU rRNA". It matches the Rfam family "Bacterial small subunit ribosomal RNA", at positions 777 to 1325 of the family's 1533-position model. The record is from RNAcentral.
AAUAGAUACCCGGGUAGUCCACGCCGUAAACGAUGAAUACUAGGUGUGGGGGGUUUCAACACCUCCGUGCCGCCGCUAACGCAUUAAGUAUUCCGCCUGGGGAGUACGGUCGCAAGAUUAAAACUCAAAGGAAUUGACGGGGACCCGCACAAGUAGCGGAGCAUGUGGUUUAAUUCGAAGCAACGCGAAGAACCUUACCUACACUUGACAUCCCUUGCAUUACUCUUAAUCGAGGAAAUCCCUUCGGGGACAAGGUGACAGGUGGUGCAUGGUUGUCGUCAGCUCGUGUCGUGAGAUGUUGGGUUAAGUCCCGCAACGAGCGCAACCCUUAUCGUUAGUUACUACCAUUAAGUUGAGGACUCUAGCGAGACUGCCUGGGUUAACCAGGAGGAAGGUGGGGAUGACGUCAAAUCAUCAUGCCCCUUAUGUGUAGGGCUACACACGUGCUACAAUGGCUGGUACAGAGAGAUGCAAUACCGGCGAGGUGGAAGCCCAAAACUUAAAACCAGUCUCAGUUCGGAUUGUAGGCUGAAACUCGCCUACAUGAAG